This 264-nucleotide unclassified non-coding RNA is filed under the name Hevea brasiliensis (rubber tree). Lineage: Eukaryota; Viridiplantae; Streptophyta; Magnoliopsida; Malpighiales; Euphorbiaceae. The record is from RNAcentral.
GACUAUAAUUUAUAUAUUGAACCUACAAUGUUAAGCCACAGAGUUGAGAGGUGCAUUAUUGUGUCAUUAGGUUUAUUUGUACCAAGGGUCAAUGGAAUAUUUUUCUUCUAGGGACCUGCGCGUAUAUUUCGUCUUUGGUUAAACCAAUUGCAGUUGUCAAUAUACACUACUAAUCCUACUACUUACCACCUCCAACACAGCUGCUGUUCUGGCAAAAAAUUUAAUAAAUAAAAACAUUCCAUUCAGUUCUCACCACUAUGAUUG